This 400-nucleotide ribosomal RNA is filed under the name uncultured Sedimentibacter sp. Its description in RNAcentral is "bacterial SSU rRNA". It matches the Rfam family "Bacterial small subunit ribosomal RNA", at positions 356 to 774 of the family's 1533-position model. The record is from RNAcentral. Lineage: Bacteria; Bacillati; Bacillota; Tissierellia.
GGGGAAUAUUGCACAAUGGAGGGAACUCUGAUGCAGCGACGCCGCGUGAGUGAAGAAGGUUUUCGGAUCGUAAAACUCUGUCCUUGGUGAAGAUAAUGACGGUAGCCAAGGAGGAAGCCCCGGCUAACUACGUGCCAGCAGCCGCGGUAAUACGUAGGGGGCGAGCGUUGUCCGGAUUUACUGGGCGUAAAUGGUGAGUAGGCGGUAAUAUGUGUCAGAUGUAAAAGGCUAUGGCUUAACUAUAGUUAGCAUUUGAAACUGUAUUACUUGAGUGCAGGAGAGGUAAGCGGAAUUCCUGGUGGAGCGGUGGAAUGCGCAGAUAUCAGGAGGAACACCAGUGGCGAAGGCGGUUCUCUGGACAUUUCCUGACGCUGAGAAGCGAAAGCGUGGGGAGCAAACA